This 144-nucleotide ribosomal RNA is filed under the name Alexandrium fundyense. RNAcentral describes it as "partial Eukaryotic small subunit ribosomal RNA". It matches the Rfam family "Eukaryotic small subunit ribosomal RNA", at positions 752 to 886 of the family's 1831-position model. Lineage: Eukaryota; Dinophyceae; Gonyaulacales; Pyrocystaceae. The record is from RNAcentral.
AGUCAGCGAUGUUACUUUGAAAAAAUUAGAGUGUUCAAAGCAGGCCUUGGCUCUGAAUACAUUAGCAUGGAAUAACACGAUAGGACUCUGGUCCUAUUUUGUUGGUCUUCGGGACCGGAGUAAUGAUUAAUAGGGACAGUUGGG